RNAcentral lists this ribosomal RNA (253 nucleotides) under uncultured bacterium. Its description in RNAcentral is "partial 16S ribosomal RNA". It matches the Rfam family "Bacterial small subunit ribosomal RNA", at positions 524 to 776 of the family's 1533-position model. The record is from RNAcentral.
UACAGAGGUCUCAAGCGUUGUUCGGAUUCAUUGGGCGUAAAGGGUGUGUAGGUGGCGCGCUAAGUCGGGUGUGAAAUUUCGGAGCUUAACUCCGAAACUGCAUUCGAUACUGGCGUGCUUGAGGACUGGAGAGGAGACUGGAAUUCAUGGUGUAGCAGUGAAAUGCGUAGAGAUCAUGAGGAAGACCAGUGGCGAAGGCGACUUUCUGGUCUGUAACUGACACUGAGGCGCGAAAGCGUGGGGAGCAAACAGG